UUCAGAGGAAAACCUGGACCGGACUCUUUUAGACACUCAGGAUUUUUCCGUCUUUUCUUUUUUUCCUUUAUCCUUUCUGUAUUGAACUGACAUAUUGUUUGUUCUAAUUGAAUAAGGAUAACACUUAUAAAUUAAAUUAACAGAUUUACAUGUUUUUUUAUUGGUUGUAAAGAAAACAUGGACUGGAUUUUGAAACUUCUCGCAGAAACUUUUAUCUAACUUUGGAUGUUGUUCUGUAUUUCUUCUUAGUUUUUGAGGAAUUUGACCUUUUCUUUUUCAUGUAUUGAACUAAACCCCCUCUGAGUUUGACCUCUCUUAAAUCUGGAUUCCUCCUCUCCGUGUUUUUCGUCGGUUAUUUCUUCAGUCUCGUCCAAACACAUCUGAGCUCACUCCGCCGGUAUCAGCCAAGAAUUUAAAUAGUUAUCCUCGGUGUGUAAUCACAGCCGCAGACUAAACUCUGAUGUUUCAUCUGAAGGUAAACUUGGACCGUGUUCAGCAGGAAAAACUCCCCGCUCAGGAUUUAUGAUGACCUCUGACCCCGCGGCGCUCCGACACACACACUCAUCCAUAAAGAUCCGAUAUCAGCCGACACACACGUCCACAUCCAGCCUGAAAGUGAAUACUGCAGGCCGCUCUCAUCUUUCCUCCAGUCCCAACACGUCAAUCAACACACUGCAAUUAGCUCAACACCCCCACAACACACACAAAGAAACACACACUCACACACACACACACUAACACACACACACACAGCUAAAACAGAGAUGUCACUGGAGGACCUGAGAGUGUUUUCACACCAACAACUGAUGAAAAAACUGGAUCAGAAACACACCUGAACCGAGGACGGAGCGAAAACAACAACAUGAGCUAAAAUUAAAAGACUGUUUGACUAACCGAGGUCUGAACCGUGAAUUAAAGGAGCAGUCAGGAGUUUUUAACGAGGGUCCUAUAUUUACGUUUGUGUGUUAAAAAGUGUGAAAAGUUUAAGAUUUUUUCAGCCUCCAAGUUUAUCGACGUGUUUUAACCGAGCAGCAACCUCCGGCCUGGAGAGAUUACCCCCAAUUUUCACCACAUCCGGAACGGCGGCGAUAUUUGCCGUCCGCCAAUUCCUACCUGAUCCGUUUGUGAGGCCAAUUUCGUGGUGAAUUGCGGACAGCAAGAACCUGCAGAUUCACGUUCAAUCGCACGAUAACGAGUUGUCUCUCUAAAGACAGAAACAUAGACAUAUAAGCAGUAGAUUGUGUCCUUCCAGAGGAGGAAAUCUACUUCUAGACUUCUAGAAUCAGCAUCUCCUCAUCCAUGGUGUCAUCGGGGUGAAAUGACGUCUAAAAACCUUUCACUUGUUCGUCUCGGAGUGUUUUAUUUUGAAAAGAAGCCGGAUGUUUUAUUUUGUGUCUGUGCCCGACUUCCUUUCCAGAAGAAGUCGGUGUAAAUUGACACGUUAACUUGAAUGGUUACGAUCAGCUACGAUCGGAGGAUACGACCUUUUAGGAGACGAUCAGGAUGAAGGUGGAAAUUGGGGGUUAGGCUGUUGCAGUUCCCUUCGUGUCCUCUAGAGGCCGUUACCACUGAAAACCACAUAAACAUGUUGUUCACAGAGCAGUGUCGGUCCGGUUAGUUCAGGACAUCCACCGUAAACUUUAGUUUCCUGUUUGUUUGGAAAAUAUCAGAGUUACAAGGUUAGCCAAUCAGACACGUGGCUGACUUGAUUGACAGGUGAGGAGGCUGAAGGCCCGCCUCUGGUAGGAAAAUUUUUCAUGUUAAAAAAUCUUAGAAAAAAUUAAAGGAGUGACGUAAAUACAGACACACUUUCACAGUGUUUUAAAAAUAUCCCUGUCAUGUUGUUUCAGUGUGUGUGUGUGUGUGUGUGUGUGUGUGUGUGUGUGUGUGUGUGUGUGUGUGUGUGUGUGUGUGUGUGUGUGUGGUACUGACCACAGCCAAUCUGUUAAAAAAGCAAACGCUGCUAAUUCCUCGUCGUUCUCCAUUACCUCAGAUCUGUCCCCGGAGACGAGACACACUGACGGACGGCUGGAGAGUGUGUGAGCGUUUUUAUGAGUGUGUGUGUGUGUCUGUCUGUGUAUGUGUGUGUGUGUGUGAGUGUGUGUGUGUGUGAGUGAGUUAAAGGUGUGUGUGUGUAAAGUGCUGAUGGAUUAUGGGAAACCCUCUGGAUGGUAUCAAACCAAAGACUCAACAACGGCUCAACACCUCGACAGACCAAACAGCACGAGUCCUGGUGUGGGAGCGAGUCCUGGGGCCUCAUGUAUCAACGCUUGCGGCGCAAGAAAACCUUGCGUACGCCAAAAUCGGCGCACACGUCCAGAUUUAUCAUCGCGAAACGAGCGUCGGUUCCAGCGCUAAUCAACGCAAAGUCAGGAGGUGGUGUAGAAAUUGGCGUUGAGCUGGAUAUUUGCGUUGACUGUGAUUCGCACUUUGGCGACGCUGUGUGGCGGUGUUUGGUGACUCACUAUGUGACAAGCGUGCACCACAUCCCCGUGGCCGGGCAGCACGUCGCCCCACAUGACGAACCAGCAGCAGACGGAGGGAUGCGAGCUGAUCCCUGCCGGGCCGCCGUCCUCGCGCGGGAGAAUCUCAUCGCCACAGUGUUAAUGGGUAAGAAGUGAAUACACAGUUCAAUGAGCCAAAUUAAUUUAUUUUCUCCACCAGACGCUCGAGGACAUUUACGAGCCGGUCCAGCCGCUCGUUGAUCCCCGCGAUCCCCCUGAUGAUUUCUUCCUGCGAUUGCAGGACCCCCUCCGCGAGGACCCUUCCACUGCGUCCGGGUGGUCCAGCGGAAGCGCCGCGGCUGGUGGACGCUCCACCGCUUGUCGGCGCGCUGGUGCUGAUGCUGGUGCUGGGGCCGGGGUGGCCCGAAUGCCGCUGGUCCUGGCCGACGACUCCGAGCCGGCGGACGGGCUGCCGCGGGCCGGGGUUCCACAAGCCGGCGACACGGCCGACACAUUGAUUUCUGUGACACAAUAAAAAUAUUAGUUCAUUUCAAUUCCUGCUUCUGUGUAUCUGUUGCGUUUACAUCUCUCUCCACGGUAUCAUAGGUAAUGUAAUCCAGUAUUUCGAGGUCAGUUAUGCACAUUACAGUUGUUUAUUGCAUAAAAAGUUAUCGAAAAAUGAAGUUAAGGGCGAAGUAUAAAUCACGUCUAAAAAUAGACUGAAUCCCGACGUUGAAAUGAAGUAUAAACUUAGACUAGACGUCUAAUAUACGUCUGUGGGAUGGCAAAGCAUGUGGACAUUUGUGUGACACGCCACUUACCCUAUAAUAAUAAUCGCCACCACCCGCUGCUCAAACGGUGUGAGGGUCUCCUCCCCCGGACCCCCACCUGUCUGGCCGGUACUCCUCCGGAGGGCAGCUGUACGCCGCUUGACCUCCACCUUGAGGUCCGACCACUUUUUUUUAAUCUUCGCGGGGGUGCGUGUCUCGGAACCCACCGCAUUCACCCUCUCGCAAACUUUCUCCCACUCCAAGCGUUUUUG
Molecule: non-coding RNA, 3486 nt
Organism: Xyrichtys novacula (pearly razorfish)
Lineage: Eukaryota; Metazoa; Chordata; Actinopteri; Labriformes; Labridae
Source: the annotation of a GenBank genome assembly